AGCAGCCGCGGUAAUUCCAGCUCCAAUAGCGUAUAUUAAAGUUGUUGCAGUUAAAAAGCUCGUAGUUGAAUUUCGGGGUUCUACCGUUGGUCGGGCUAACCAGUCUGUACUAGCGUGUAAAAUUCCUACCUUCUGGAGAACCAUCAUGUUAUUAAUUUAGCGUGGUGGGGAACCAGGACCUUUACCUUGAAAAAAUUAGAGUGUUCAAAGCAGGCUUACGUCUGAAUACAUUAGCAUGGAAUAAUAGAAUAGGACGGUGGUCCUGUUUUGUUGGUUUCUGAAUCACCGUAAUGAUUAAUAGGGAUAGUUGGGGGCAUUAGUAUUCAAUUGUCAGAGGUGAAAUUCUUGGAUUUAUUGAAGACUAACUUCUGCGAAAGCAUUUGCCAAGGAUGUUUUCAUUAAUCAAAGAACGAAAGUUAGGGAUCGAAGACGAUCAGAUACCGUCGUAGUCUUAACCAUAAACUAUGCCGACUAGGGAUCGGACGAUGUUAAAUUUAUUGACUCGGUUCGCGCCUUACGG
This 520-nucleotide ribosomal RNA is filed under the name uncultured Scutellospora. RNAcentral describes it as "SSU rRNA". It matches the Rfam family "Eukaryotic small subunit ribosomal RNA", at positions 569 to 1093 of the family's 1831-position model. The record is from RNAcentral. Lineage: Eukaryota; Fungi; Glomeromycota; Glomeromycetes; Diversisporales; Gigasporaceae.